GAGUAUCGUAUAAAAAGCAAUAUCUACGAAAAUAUGUCAUUAUUUCGUUAUUGAACUCCAAAGUGUGCAGUGCGUUCGGUGUGCAGUGCGAUUCCGCCGAUGUGCAGUGAUAUAUAUUUUUUCUCAUUUUUUUUUUUGCUCUGAAAUAUAUUCCGUGCUGACGAUAGUGUGCCCAAGGAUAUGGCUAGCACGAUCGCAAUUUCUUUUGCGCCCUGGCCCCAGGACCCAGGACCAGGACCCACGACCAGGACCAAGUCAAAGCUGACGCCUCGCCUCGUCUGAGCUCUGGCCUCCCCCCUGCCUGCUGCCAGGGCAGGGAUGCCACCCAUCCCGAUCCGACUCGAUGCUGUUGCAAUAUUAUGACUCCUGCUGUUUGUUCUGACAGCCGGCUGGUUGGAUGGGGGCAGGGGCCGGGGAAAAGCGGCAAAAGAAAUGUUUAUUGUGAAGCAUUUUCUAUGGCAAUUGCAACGAGCCUGCCCCGGACCCGGCCCCGUCCCCGUCCCCGGCCCCGACAGCUCGCUCCAGCCAUUCGCAUUAAAUGAGGAAACCAAUUAUUCGCGCUUAUAAAGAUUUACCGCCAUACACUCGCGCGCACACGGAGUUAGACAGUUGGAGAUAUGGCAGAUGCGAGGCAGCCCCCUCCCCCCGCCCACUCCCCAAACGGGGAGCUCUGGGAUCUGGGAUCUGGGAUCUGGAAUCGGGGAUGGGCCUUGGUCGUGGCCUUUGUUUCGCUUCGUUUUUAAUGGGAGCACUGCUCUCUGGCCGCAGGCUCGCUGAUUAAAGCCGGCAUCAGCGCCAGCGCCAGCGAAUGCAUCGUCCUGCCACGUCCCGCCUCGUCCUGCGAGGGCAAAAGGAUGUCGAAUGGAAUUGCAACCGCAAUCCGAGCAAAGUUUCUGAACAAGACUUCUACCGAUACAGGAUACGAUAUGGGAACAGCAGUAAUUACUUAAAAAUAUCCAACCCCCCUCCCCCCCCUCCAUCUGGCGGGCGGAGGGGGGCCAUCCACUUAGCCCUAAUGCUGCCACAAUUUCCUGUUGUCCGAAAAACAUUUUCGCAACAAUUUCGCACAUUCCUGAUGGAGAUUUCCGGGCGAGGCCAAUUUGCGGGCCCACAAAGGCCUACUGCUCGAGGACCGGCGGCUGUCUGGGAGCUGUCCCUGCCCCCGGCCCCCGGCCCCUGCCCCCCGGGCAUAACUUGUCAUUUGUCUUGGACACCCCUCUCGAGUAGGGAAAAUCAGAGCAAGAUUUCGCUGAAAUUACCUUUCAUUUUGUCAUCAAAAACCACUUGAAUAGGGCGCCACGAAGACGGAAGCAGGAGUCGUCUGGCCCGGCCUGGUCCUGGUCCCGGCCUGGUCCUGUCGUUAGGGGAGUCCUGCCAGAACGGCCGCAGCAAUUACAGACGGUACGAGUAAUGUCCAGAGCCGCAGGGAGUGUCUUCGGUUUUUGGCUUAAAGCCUUUUAGCCUUGGCUUCCGGCUUGCCUUGGCUUUGGCGCUGGCUGGGGCUCCGUCUCCGUCUCCUUUUGGCUUUUGCUUUUACAGCUUUUGGCCCUUUUGUGUGUUGCAUUUCUUGAAACCGAAAGCGCAUUGGGCCAGGAGUCGAGGAGAUCUGAAACAGAAGCGUUAAAUUAAAACGUAAAUACCACUUAGCCGGGCUAUAAAGAAAGUGGCAGGUCCCGGACUCAGACCCGGACUCAGACCCGGACCCGGACCCAGACCCGGACCCGUUUCCGGCACUGUAAUCAGUGGGUAAUUAAGCGAGAGAGCGAAAAGUGAGCAGGACACCUUGAAAUUGCUUAAUUUGUGCAACCUGAUUUAAUGACUGGAGCUUCUUUCGGGCUCUCGAGCGGCCAGGAUGGUUGGGAGUCCUCCCAGCUCCCAGCUCGUAGCUCCUCCUCCUCCACAAAAGAAGCGCAAACUUCAUUUCAUGGCACGCUUAUCACGAGCCAAACCAUAAAUAAGGUUCUAAACAUUCGUUUUGACAGUUUCAUCGGCGCCCAAAGUGCAGCCACACCGAAAAAAGUACAGUCACCGCCCCCCCGGGCAGCCAACUUUUUUUGCAAGUUCUUGUCGGCACGGAGGAGGGGCGUGGGGGGGGGGAGACGAUGGGACGAUAUUGCAACUGCUGCACAAUGUGCAAAAAAUUCUAAACUGCAAUAAAUUCAUCAAAUGUGCAAUGGAACAUGCUGUAAUGUCACGCCCACUGCCCCCAUCCAUCCAUCCAUCCAGGCUGCGGGGCCCGACUGGGGGGGGGACCCGGCUGGGACCCGCUGCAUACUCCAUUAAAUGCGCUCCCCUUUUGGCCAGGAAUUGGGUGAUAUUUUGUAGGCAAAUGUGCAAUAAAUUGUAAAUGUUUGUGGGGCCUGGCUGGGUGGCGCUGCCCCUGCUGGGAUAUGGUGGGGAGCGGUGCGGUGUGCCAGCUGUGCCUCCACAGCUCCGUUGCAAAUUUGUGACGCGCCAAACGAGUCGAGUUCCUCGUAAAACUUGUCCGCUGCACGCCUGUCAACUUUUAUAAGUGUUUUUGCAGAUUGUUUUUCGUUUCGAUGACUUUUUCGGGGACACUUUGUUGGGGCGCUUAGCAGCGGCGGUGGCAUGCAGCGAAUGCAAUUUAGUGGGUGGUCGUGGUGGGUAGCCAGGGGGUCAGGGGGUCAGGGGUCGGGGGAAAACAAAUUUUGUUAGAGCCCUGAAUGGGUCAAUCAAUGGAUUGCUCUUAAACCAUUUUAAAUAAAUAUUAAGGGUACUCCCGCGACCCCCGGCUCACUCGCCGGCCCUAAAGCGAUGUUCCAUUCAUUGAUCUUC
Long non-coding RNA from Drosophila pseudoobscura, 2796 nucleotides. RefSeq lists it as uncharacterized. Lineage: Eukaryota; Metazoa; Arthropoda; Insecta; Diptera; Drosophilidae. The transcript is spliced from 2 exons. The record is from RefSeq and is a predicted model, not a curated record.